RNAcentral lists this ribosomal RNA (402 nucleotides) under uncultured bacterium. RNAcentral describes it as "partial 16S ribosomal RNA". It matches the Rfam family "Bacterial small subunit ribosomal RNA", at positions 28 to 526 of the family's 1533-position model. The record is from RNAcentral.
GACGAACGCUGGCGGCGUGCCUAAUACAUGCAAGUCGAACGCAGUGGGGACGGGUUAGUAACACGUGGGUAACCUCCCAUCAGACGGAUAACACUUGGAAACAUGUGCUAUACCGACACUGAUGUUUGCACCCGCGUGGCAUCAGCUAGCUGGCGAGGUAACGGCCCACCAAGGCCACGAUGCAUAGCCGACCGGAGAGGGUGAUCAGCCACACUGGAACUGAGACACGGCCCAGACUCCUACGGGAGGCAGCAGUAGGGAAUAUGGGGCAAUGGACGAAAGUCUGACCGAGCCACGCCGCGUGAGUGAAGAAGGUUUUCGGGUCGUAAAACGCUGUUGUUAGAGAGGCGGUAUCUAACCAGAAAGCCACGGCUAACUACGUGCCAGCAGCCGCGGUAAUUC